Molecule: transfer RNA, 70 nt
Filed under: Pseudoplatystoma reticulatum
Lineage: Eukaryota; Metazoa; Chordata; Actinopteri; Siluriformes; Pimelodidae
Description: tRNA-His
Rfam family: tRNA
About the family: Transfer RNA (tRNA) molecules are approximately 80 nucleotides in length. Their secondary structure includes four short double-helical elements and three loops (D, anti-codon, and T loops).
Source: RNAcentral
GUAGAUAUAGUUUAACGUAAAACAUUAGAUUGUGGUUCUAAAAUUGAAGGUUAAAAUCCUCCUAUCCACC